CCCGGGGGAGACCUCCCGGUGGUCCCUGGAGCUGCCAGCCCAGCUGCCAGCCUGGCUCACGCACUCCGGCACCUCCAGCCGCUCCGCACCCGACAUGGUGACGAACCGGCACAGUUUAUAGAGGGAGACGAGCAGGGCCAGACGUGCUCAGGGCAGAAAUGCUUUGGCCACUUCUUGCACUGGGAGGAGCAGCUUAAAUCCUUGCCUUCAAAACCAGGUUGUUGCCAGCUCAGACUGAGACUUAAAUUCAAGUUGAUGUUUUGAUGCGACAGUCGCUUUUAAUCCUCUCUGAACCCACUACAGGGGACAGGCAGAGGAAAGGGACAUCAGCUCCCAGCGAAGGAUGGUAACGGAGGCGUCCUGAGCAGCACAGCACUGCAGGAGAGGCUCAACACGGAACCAUAAGACUGGGAGCAGUCAAUGCUGGGAACUGCCUGUGUCCGAGCUGGCAGAGGUGAGGCCCCUGCAACAGCGGGCACCCUGCUCUGGUUCUUCUCUUCCCAAACCUUUCAUCACUUACUCAAG
Long non-coding RNA from Neopsephotus bourkii (Bourke's parrot), 525 nucleotides. RefSeq lists it as uncharacterized. Lineage: Eukaryota; Metazoa; Chordata; Aves; Psittaciformes; Psittacidae. The transcript has 3 exons. The record is from RefSeq and is a predicted model, not a curated record.